UGCACCUCAACUAAGGAAAAUUGCCUAAGUUGAGGGUUGCUAUUAUAGGGGUGCGUAAGAGGAAAACGAGUAUGAAGAUAAUGGGUAGAAGAAAAAUAGUUGAAUGAUUGGCAGGUGUGAUGAAAAGAAAAGAAAGAAAUGUGCAAUAUAUAGCAGAAUAAACCAAAAAAGAAAAAUCAGUUCUAGAAAGACACACCUAAUCCAACUGGAAUGUGCUUAAAAGAAAAAGAGAGAAAUAAGGGUGGAAAUAAUAAAAGUCAAAAGUAGUGGACCCUGAGAAGAGCAUAGUGUCCAGGAGGGAGUCCAGGAGGAUUAGUCACUAAAUAAAUCUCAAAAGAUAUCAUACCAGCC
Molecule: long non-coding RNA, 351 nt
Filed under: Capsicum annuum
Lineage: Eukaryota; Viridiplantae; Streptophyta; Magnoliopsida; Solanales; Solanaceae
Description: long non-coding RNA (CANN_LNC019411)
Source: RNAcentral